GAACGCUGGCGGCAGGCUUAACACAUGCAAGUCGAGCGGAAACGAUGGGUGCUUGCACCCAGGCGUCGAGCGGCGGACGGGUGAGUAACGAGUGGGAAUUUGCCUAGUAGUGGGGGAUAGCCCGGGGAAACCCGGAUUAAUACCGCAUACGUCCUACGGGAGAAAGCAGGGGAUCUUCGGACCUUGCGCUAUUGGAUGAGCCUAUGUCGGAUUAGCUAGUUGGUGAGGUAAGGGCUCACCAAGGCGACGAUCUCUAGCUGGUCUGAGAGGAUGAUCAGCCACACUGGAACUGAGACACGGUCCAGACUCCUACGGGAGGCAGCAGUGGGGAAUAUUGCACAAUGGGCGCAAGCCUGAUGCAGCCAUGCCGCGUGUGUGAAGAAGGCCUUCGGGUUGUAAAGCACUUUCAGUAAGGAGGAAAAGUUAGUAGUUAAUACCUGCUAACCGUGACGUUACUUACAGAAGAAGCACCGGCUAACUCCGUGCCAGCAGCCGCGGUAAUACGGAGGGUGCAAGCGUUAAUCGGAAUUACUGGGCGUAAAGCGCGCGUAGGUGGCUUGUUAAGCGAGAUGUGAAAGCCCCGGGCUCAACCUGGGAACUGCAUUUCGAACUGGCAGGCUAGAGUAUGGUAGAGGUAAGUGGAAUUUCCUGUGUAGCGGUGAAAUGCGUAGAUAUAGGAAGGAACACCAGAGGCGAAGGCGACUUACUGGACUGAUGCUGACGCUGAGGUGCGAAAGCGUGGGGAGCAAACAGGAUUAGAUCCCCUGUAGUCCACGCCGUAAACGAUGUCUACUAGCCGUUGGGAGACUUGAUCUCUUAGUGGCGCCUAACGCAAUAAGUAGACCGCCUGGGGAGUACGGCCGCAAGGUUAAAACUCAAAUGAAUUGACGGGGGCCCGCACAAGCGGUGGAGCAUGUGGUUUAAUUCGAAGCAACGCGAAGAACCUUACCUACUCUUGACAUCCAGAGAACUCGCUAGAGAUAGCUUGGUGCCUUCGGGAAGCAGUGACAGGUGCUGCAUGGCCGUCGUCAGCUCGUGUCGUGAGAGUUGGGUUAAGUCCCGUAACGAGCGCAACCCUUGUCCUUAUUUGCCAGCACUUCGGGUGGGAACUCUAAGGAGACUGCCGGUGACAAACCGGUGGAAGGUGGGGACGACGUCAAGUCAUCAUGGCCCUUACGAGCGGGGCUACACACGUGCUACAAUGGCCAGGACAAACGGUUGCAACCCCGCGAGGGUGAGCUAAUCUGAGAAACCUGGUCGUAGUCCGGAUCGCAGUCUGCAACUCGACUGCGUGAAGUCGGAAUCGCUAGUAAUCGUGAAUCAGAAUGUCACGGUGAAUACGUUCCCGGGCCUUGUACACACCGCCCGUCACACCAUGGGAGUGGACUGCACCAGAAGUGGUUAGUUUAACCUUCGGGAGAACGAUCACCACGGUGUGGUUCAUGACUGGGGUGAAGUCGUAACAAGGUAGCCGU
Molecule: ribosomal RNA, 1475 nt
Filed under: uncultured prokaryote
Description: partial 16S ribosomal RNA
Rfam family: Bacterial small subunit ribosomal RNA
Source: RNAcentral